RNAcentral lists this transfer RNA (68 nucleotides) under Nesophrosyne sp. 21 GMB-2012. RNAcentral's name for it is "tRNA-Pro". Lineage: Eukaryota; Metazoa; Arthropoda; Insecta; Hemiptera; Cicadellidae. The record is from RNAcentral.
CAACAAGUAGUUUAGAUAAGAAUAUUAAUUUUGGGUAUUAAAGGUAUAGUAUUUUUCUAUUUUGUUGA